GCCUGAAUAGCUCAGCAGGUCAGAGCGGCGCCCUCGUAAAGCGCAGGUCGCGGGUCCGAAUCCCGCUUCAGGCU
RNAcentral lists this transfer RNA (74 nucleotides) under Bifidobacterium longum subsp. longum. RNAcentral describes it as "tRNA-Thr". It matches the Rfam family "tRNA". From Rfam's summary of the family: Transfer RNA (tRNA) molecules are approximately 80 nucleotides in length. Their secondary structure includes four short double-helical elements and three loops (D, anti-codon, and T loops). Lineage: Bacteria; Bacillati; Actinomycetota; Actinomycetes; Bifidobacteriales; Bifidobacteriaceae. The record is from RNAcentral. RNAcentral also lists the same sequence under 1 other name.